RNAcentral lists this ribosomal RNA (245 nucleotides) under uncultured bacterium. Its description in RNAcentral is "partial 16S ribosomal RNA". It matches the Rfam family "Bacterial small subunit ribosomal RNA", at positions 96 to 334 of the family's 1533-position model. The record is from RNAcentral.
UGGCGCACGGGUGAGUAACGCGUGGGUAACCUGCCCUUGAGUUCGGGAUACCCCCUCAAAGGGGGGCUAAUACCGGAUACGUUCCUCGGAUCGACAGGUCUGGGGAGGAAAGGUGGCGCAAGCCGCCGCUCUUGGAGGGGCUCGCGGCCUAUCAGCUAGUUGGCGGGGUAACGGCCCACCAAGGCUAUGACGGGUAGCUGGUCUGAGAGGACGACCAGCCACACGGGGACUGAGACACGGCCCCG